This 69-nucleotide transfer RNA is filed under the name bovine gut metagenome. It matches the Rfam family "tRNA". Rfam says of the family: Transfer RNA (tRNA) molecules are approximately 80 nucleotides in length. Their secondary structure includes four short double-helical elements and three loops (D, anti-codon, and T loops). Further hydrogen bonds mediate the characteristic L-shaped molecular structure. tRNAs have two regions of fundamental functional importance: the anti-codon, which is responsible for specific mRNA codon recognition, and the 3' end, to which the tRNAs corresponding amino acid is attached (by aminoacyl-tRNA synthetases). tRNAs cope with the degeneracy of the genetic code in two manners: having more than one tRNA (with a specific anti-codon) for a particular amino acid; and 'wobble' base-pairing, i.e. permitting non-standard base-pairing at the 3rd anti-codon position. The record is from RNAcentral.
CCUUAGCUCAGUCGGUCAGAGCUGGAGACUCAUAAUCUCUAGGUCGGGGGUUCAAGUCCCUCAGGGUCC